UACGUAGGAGGCAAGCGUUGUCCGGAAUCACUGGGCGUAAAGCGCGUGUAGGCGGAUCGCUAAGUCUGUGGUGAAAGCGCCUGGCUUAACCGGGCGAGGUCCAUGGAAACUAGCGGUCUGGAGGCCGGUAGAGGGGGGUGGAAUUCCGGGUGUAGUGGUGAAAUGCGUAGAGAUCCGGAGGAACACCAGUGGCGAAGGCGGCCCCCUGGGCCGCGCCUGACGCUGAGACGCGAAAGCGCGGGGAGCGAACGGGAUUAGAUACCCCGGUAGUCCGCGCAGUAAACGAUGUCCACUAGGUGUGGGGGGUAUCGAGCCCCUCCGUGCCGCAGCUAACGCAGUAAGUGGACCGCCUGGGGAGUACGGCCGCAAGGUUAAA
RNAcentral lists this ribosomal RNA (376 nucleotides) under uncultured bacterium. RNAcentral describes it as "bacterial SSU rRNA". It matches the Rfam family "Bacterial small subunit ribosomal RNA", at positions 524 to 898 of the family's 1533-position model. The record is from RNAcentral.